This 331-nucleotide long non-coding RNA is filed under the name Monodelphis domestica (gray short-tailed opossum). RNAcentral describes it as "lncRNA (ENSMODG00000035089.2)". The record is from RNAcentral. Lineage: Eukaryota; Metazoa; Chordata; Mammalia; Didelphimorphia; Didelphidae.
UUGGAAGACCAAAAGAAGGAAUGAUCUGGGAGGGUAGGAGGGAGAGGGUAGCCAGCAAGAUCUAUAAUUUCCUUGUCAUUAGGUAAUCUUCACUCAAUGCCAGAAUGUCAAGUGAUAAAUGUACAGGUGAUAAUCAGAGAAUUCAGUCUAUUGAAUAGAAGAAGAAAGAAGGAAAAAGAAAUGGAAAAGAAGAGGAGGUGAUGAUGAUGAAGAUGAUGAUGAUAAAUAUUAGUGCAUAUCUAUCCUGCAUUAGAAGUCAAGGCAAUGAGAUGAAAAGCUUAAGGAGAUAAUAAUGAAUAAACUUGCUGAUUUUUUGUUGUUUCUCUAAUUG